UACAGAGGGUGCUAGCGUUGUUCGGAAUUACUGGGCGUAAAGGGCGCGUAGGCGGCUUGCUAAGUGAGAUGUGAAAUCUCGGGGCUUAACUCCGAAAGUGCAUUUCAAACUGACAAGCUAGAGUGCAGUAGAGGUUGGUGGAAUUCCCAGUGUAGAGGUGAAAUUCGUAGAUAUUGGGAGGAACACCGGUGGCGAAGGCGGCCAACUGGGCUGCAACUGACGCUGAGGCGCGAAAGCGUGGGGAUCAAACAGG
This 253-nucleotide ribosomal RNA is filed under the name uncultured bacterium. RNAcentral describes it as "partial 16S ribosomal RNA". It matches the Rfam family "Bacterial small subunit ribosomal RNA", at positions 524 to 776 of the family's 1533-position model. The record is from RNAcentral.